GAGCCCCCAAUGAGCCACCUCUCCUCACCCCCCAAAAAACAUAAGGGGGAGCGCAAAGGCCACAGUCUCCCCCAUGGUUCAGAAAGGGGUAGCUCCUCCCGGGACAAGGACCGAAGUGCGACGGUCAGUAGUUCAGUGCCCAUGCCUGCUGGAGGGAAGGGAAGCCAUCCUUCAUCUACACCCCAGAGGGUCCCCAACCGCCUGAUCCACGAGAAGUCACCAUACCUCCUACAACAUGCCUACAAUCCUGUGGACUGGUGAGCACCUCUCCUGGGGCCCUGCCUGGAAUCGCUGGGGUCCUGGGCCCCUCCCAGACCCCCUGGGCUACUGAGUGAUGCCCCACCCUGCUGGGUCUAGGUACCCCUGGGGACAGGAAGCCUUCGACAAGGCCAGGAAGGAAAACAAGCCGAUUUUCCUCUCAGUCGGGUACUCCACCUGCCACUGGUGCCACAUGAUGGAAGAGGAGUCCUUCCAGAAUGAGGAGAUCGGCCGCCUGCUCAGUGAGGACUUUGUGAGUGUGAAGGUAGACCGUGAGGAGCGGCCUGACGUGGACAAGGUGUACAUGAUGUUCGUGCAGGUGAGCAGCCCUCCUCGGGAGUGUAUGCGCCACAUGGGCUCAGAGCAGCUCCCCUCACCCUCGCCCUCUCUCCGCCAGGCCACCAGCAGCGGCGGGGGCUGGCCCAUGAAUGUGUGGCUGACUCCCAACCUCCAGCCCUUUGUCGGGGGCACCUAUUUCCCUCCUGAGGAUGGCUUGACCCGAGUCGGCUUCCGCACAGUGUUGCUGAGAAUACGAGAACAGUGGAAACAGAACAAGAACACCCUGCUAGAAAAUAGCCAGCGUGUCACCACUGCCCUGCUGGCCCGAUCAGAGAUCAGCGUGGGUGACCGCCAGCUGCCGCCCUCUGCCGCCACCGUGAACAAUC
Molecule: small RNA, 923 nt
Filed under: Pan troglodytes (chimpanzee)
Lineage: Eukaryota; Metazoa; Chordata; Mammalia; Primates; Hominidae
Description: retained intron
Source: RNAcentral